RNAcentral lists this non-coding RNA (62 nucleotides) under Sus scrofa (pig). The record is from RNAcentral. Lineage: Eukaryota; Metazoa; Chordata; Mammalia; Artiodactyla; Suidae.
CGCGCCCGGGCUCCGCGCCGCUCGGCCCGCAGUCCUCGGCCGCGGAGCGGAGCCGGCGCCGC